This 120-nucleotide ribosomal RNA is filed under the name Ochotona princeps (American pika). The record is from RNAcentral. Lineage: Eukaryota; Metazoa; Chordata; Mammalia; Lagomorpha; Ochotonidae.
GUCUACAGCCAUACCAGCCUGAACGCGCCCGAUCUCGUCUGAUCUCGGAAGCUGGAUAGCUCCAGCUAGCACAAAGAGAAAAAGAUGAUUGCUUGGAGAAAGGCAGCAGCAAUGCAGGCU